GAAAUAAACCUGAUGGGUUGUUGCUGGCUCUCUAGGGGGCAUGUGCACAUCUUGUCAUCUUUAUGUCUCCACCUGUGCACUUUUUGUAGACCUUUCAGGUCUAUGUUGCUUCAUUUACCCCAAUGUAUGUUAAUAGAAUGUUGUGACUAUAUAAUUUAUACAACUUUCAGCAACGGAUCUCUUGGCUCU
Molecule: unclassified non-coding RNA, 189 nt
Filed under: rhizosphere metagenome
Description: partial ribosomal RNA internal transcribed spacer region
Source: RNAcentral